RNAcentral lists this ribosomal RNA (707 nucleotides) under Aneurinibacillus aneurinilyticus. RNAcentral's name for it is "bacterial SSU rRNA". It matches the Rfam family "Bacterial small subunit ribosomal RNA", at positions 140 to 839 of the family's 1533-position model. The record is from RNAcentral. Lineage: Bacteria; Bacillati; Bacillota; Bacilli; Caryophanales; Paenibacillaceae.
GGGAUAACUCCGGGAAACCGGAGCUAAUACCGGAUACGUUUUUCAGACCGCAUGGUCUGAAAGAGAAAGACCUUUGGUCACGUACAGAUGGGCCUGCGGCGCAUUAGCUAGUUGGUGGGGUAACGGCCUACCAAGGCGACGAUGCGUAGCCGACCUGAGAGGGUGAUCGGCCACACUGGGACUGAGACACGGCCCAGACUCCUACGGGAGGCAGCAGUAGGGAAUCUUCCGCAAUGGACGAAAGUCUGACGGAGCAACGCCGCGUGAACGAUGAAGGUUUUCGGAUCGUAAAGUUCUGUUGUUAGGGAAGAACCGCCGGGAUGACCUCCCGGUCUGACGGUACCUAACGAGAAAGCCCCGGCUAACUACGUGCCAGCAGCCGCGGUAAUACGUAGGGGGCAAGCGUUGUCCGGAAUUAUUGGGCGUAAAGCGCGCGCAGGCGGCUUCUUAAGUCAGGUGUGAAAGCCCACGGCUCAACCGUGGAGGGCCACUUGAAACUGGGAGGCUUGAGUGCAGGAGAGGAGAGCGGAAUUCCACGUGUAGCGGUGAAAUGCGUAGAGAUGUGGAGGAACACCCGUGGCGAAGGCGGCUCUCUGGCCUGUAACUGACGCUGAGGCGCGAAAGCGUGGGGAGCGGAACAGGAUUAGAUGCCCUGGUAGUCCACGCCCGUAAACGUUGAGUGCUAGGUGUUUGGGGACUCCAAUCCU